This 29-nucleotide non-coding RNA is filed under the name Mus musculus (house mouse). The record is from RNAcentral. Lineage: Eukaryota; Metazoa; Chordata; Mammalia; Rodentia; Muridae.
CCCACAUUCGGAUCCCAGGUCCUACGUCC